Solanum tuberosum (potato) is the source of this 2951-nucleotide RNA transcript. RefSeq lists it as uncharacterized. Lineage: Eukaryota; Viridiplantae; Streptophyta; Magnoliopsida; Solanales; Solanaceae. The transcript is spliced from 13 exons. The record is from RefSeq and is a predicted model, not a curated record.
UUAACAUCACAUUGUGAUAAGUAUCAAAUGUUCCCCCUUCAAGAAGGAGCGGAAGAAGAUAGUCCCGAAUUUAGUUGGGGUGCCAAGAAGGGAAAGGGUGCCCUUAACAAGGACGUCCAAUUUUACAAGUCAUUCACUUAUGCUGGAGUUGAAUUCAACUUAUAUGAUUGUGUUUACAUGUAUCGUCAUGGUGAAGAGGAGCCAGACAUUGGUAAGAUCGUUAAGGUGUGGGAAACGAAAACACGGAAAAGGAUAGUCAAGGUGGUAUGGUUUUUCCGUCCCACCGAGCUAACUCAUUGGUUGGGUAAUAUCAAGGUGCUUGGCAAUGAGUUACUGUUGGCUUCAGGAGAAGGCGUAGGGCUUUCAAAUUGCAAUCCAGUGGAAGCCAUCACCGGUAAAUGCAAUGUUGUCUGCAUAUCAAUUGAUAGGAGGAACCCUCAGCCAAAAGACAGAGAUUUGGAAACAGCUGAGUUUUUAUUUUAUCGCACCUUUGAUGUUGGUACUCAGGAGAUAUCUGAGAAAUUUCCAAAUUCAAUAGCGCAAAUUGAAGUGGAGCACUUCUUUAAUAAGGUGACAGAUCUGAAGCAGCCUCUUCAUUAUGGAGGAAAAGGAAGUCUUGACAAGCUACAUUCAUUUGGAGGAGCAACUGUUAAAACACCGCUGAAAGAUGACCAACCAGGAAGAAACACUCAGUCGACGCUGCCACCUGUGACUUUGGUCAAGCAAACUAAAUCCUCCACAAGAACGGACCAGUGCACUACCAUUUCACAGUGUCAGGUGACGGAACUGGUAGAAAAAGAACUGAAUAAAGUCCCAAUUAGUUUAGGCAGACAAGGCAAACAGGGCAAUGUUUCUGAGACGGACAAGACUGUUGCCAGAACUGAAGUAAAACAUUCAUAUUGUACCCCGUCUACUAAUGCAUUGAAGAAGAGAAAGCUUCAAGACUUAUUAGAUACUACACCAUUUGACCAACAUAAGGUCAUGAAAUCCACAAGUCAGGUCAUUGAAGUAACAACAAGGGUGAAGGAGGGUGCUAGCACAUGGUUCAAGGAACGGCCAUGGAAUGAUAGACUCCAAGAAGCUCAAGAGCGAGGUACACUUGUGUUACUUGAGAAUCUUGAUCCUUCAUAUGCAUCAACAGAAGUGGAGGAUAUUGUUAAGCAUGCCUUAAGGCAAACGGUUAGUGCAAAAAUGGUGCAGCAUAACACCUUCUCUAAUCCCCUAAAUGGAAAAGCAUUUCUUAUCUUCAAAUCAAGCGAGGCUGCAGAGAUCGCCAUUUUUGAGUUGAAAAGGAGGUGCCUUAUGUUAGGUGAUGGAAGGCCAGUUGUUGCUCGGAAGGGAACUAUACAGGACCAAGUGAAAAGUAAAGACUUUCCUGGCCAUCUGUCCAUUGGAAAACUCAAAUUUCAAAAGCUAGGAGAAGAAAUGAGAAAAGCAGUAUCAACAUCUCACUAUGCCCAGAGUAACACAAUAGAACAUGAGUUGGCGGUUGAAUGGCGUGUACUACAGGAACAAUCAAGCCUGUGGUGGAAAGCUUUACGUCAGGUGAUUAUGAAGUGUUUAUUCCCCGUCAUUCCUUUUCUACCCUCUCCAGAUUGUUGCUGUUUUCUGCCUGUCCUUUCUAAGUCUAUGAUUUUCUUGUUGCAAGGAACAAGCAGCAGAAAUUGAACAGCUUAAUAGCAAGUUGAAGAACCCUAUUAAGAACUCUGUAUAGGAUCUAACGUCUCGUUUUGUUGGUUUUCUUGUGUCCAAGAAGCAUACAGAUGUGUGGACCCUUUCUGGAUAUGGGGUUGCACCUUAGUACAGAGAUUUUGUUUGUCUAAUGAUAGAAGGCAACCUUUUGUGCAGCACAAACAAUGCAUCUCGUGUAGUUCACUGUGUUGGUGUGACUUCCAGAGCUGUAGGCAGAUAACUAUAGGAUUAGUCAAAUAGCCCUUUUGAUGAACAACCCUUCAUUUAAGGUCAUCAUAUUAAAUCCAUUAGGUAAAAUUUUACAAACUUUCUUUUGGGCACCAAGAGUGUCCUUGUUUUGCAAACUUAAAAAGGGUAUUUAUGUUCAUUGUGAUAUUACAGGGACAAAGUUAAAACAAACCCUUAGACUUGAGGGAUAGUUUUGAUCAUUUUUCUCAUUGGUUGUUUUGUUGCUUGUUAGGAAGGAAGUUAUUCAUGCAUUAAAAGAAGUUAGCGUAGCUUAUAUCAUGUUUAGCUCUUUAGUUGUUUGAUAUAAACUUUGAUGUUCGGUUAUCAUUUUACAAUUCUACAAGAAAACAUGAGUAAAUUAUGAGUCAAUUUGUAAAUAAUUUUGUGCAAGGUAGAAGUUGGAAUAAUUAAAUCAUAUAUUAAUUAAUUUUUGCACUACUAAUAGGAUGAAUACAUCAAUAAUCUCUUAAACUUGAUAGUGAACUUUUUUUAGACACUCGAACUAUAACAUAUUCUGAUAGAGUAUGUGGACAUGUAGAGUGUUCCUAUUAUGCACAUAUUGUCAAGUGUCUACUUAUGUAGAUGGUUAACUAUUUAAAAUAUAUCACCUCAUUUUACUAUAUGCAUUAGCCCCCAUAAGAUGUAAUAUUGUAGGUAUGUUUCAAUUGAUGCUCAUGGGUACAACUAAAUAGGGUGACAUAAUUUAUGUGAAUAUGUAAUAGACAUACAUUUGGGUGUAUGUGAAAAUGUUGCAAAAUGUGAUGUGCAAGCAGACUACCCGUCGGUGAAAUUACCUUUAUCUCCUUCCAUGUGUUAUCAGCUUUUAAAUAAAUAACCAAAAAAAGAAAAGAAGCUAAAGACUUUCUUCCCAGUUCACAACAUCAUAACAACCAGUUUAUUGUUUUUUCCCCUUUUUCAAAUCCAACGUUAUUCAUAACUCAUAUAUGUGGACAGUUCCAAUUUAUUUGACUUGAUUCAGACUAUGAAGGACAAAUCAAUUGAUGUUUGACGUAAAUUUUUUAAUUUUCUGA